This 447-nucleotide ribosomal RNA is filed under the name uncultured bacterium. RNAcentral's name for it is "bacterial SSU rRNA". It matches the Rfam family "Bacterial small subunit ribosomal RNA", at positions 29 to 507 of the family's 1533-position model. The record is from RNAcentral.
AACGAACGCUGGCGGCAUGCCUAACACAUGCAAGUCGAACGAGACCCCUGACUUCGGUUGGCGGGUCUAGUGGCGCACGGGUGCGUAACGCGUGGGAAUCUGCCCUUGGGUUCGGAAUAACUCAGAGAAAUUUGAGCUAAUACCGGAUGAUGACGAAAGUCCAAAGAUUUAUCGCCCAGGGAUGAGCCCGCGUAAGAUUAGCUUGUUGGUGGGGUAAUGGCCUACCAAGGCGACGAUCUUUAGCUGGUCUGAGAGGAUGAUCAGCCACACUGGGACUGAGACACGGCCCAGACUCCUACGGGAGGCAGCAGUGGGGGAAUAUUGGACAAUGGGCGCAAGCCUGAUCCAGCAAUGCCGCGUGAGUGAUGAAGGCCUUAGGGUUGUAAAGCUCUUUUACCAGGGAUGAUAAUGACAGUACCUGGAGAAUAAGCUCCGGCUAACUCCGUG